AUUGAACGCUGGCGGCAUGCUUUACACAUGCGAGUCGAACGGUAACGGGCCUUCGGGUGCUGACGAGUGGCGAACGGGUGAGUAAUGCAUCGGAACGUGCCCAGAGGUGGGGGAUAACGCAGCGAAAGCUGUGCUAAUACCGCAUGUGAUCUGAGGAUGAAAGCGGGGGACCAAGCAGCAAUGUUUGGCCUCGCGCCUCUGGAGCGGCCGAUGUCAGAUUAGGUAGUUGGUGGGGUAAAGGCCUACCAAGCCGACGAUCUGUAGCUGGUCUGAGAGGACGACCAGCCACACUGGGACUGAGACACGGCCCAGACUCCUACGGGAGGCAGCAGUGGGGAAUUUUGGACAAUGGGCGCAAGCCUGAUCCAGCAAUGCCGCGUGCGGGAAGAAGGCCUUCGGGUUGUAAACCGCUUUUGUACGGAACGAAAAGGCUCUGGCUAAUACCUGGGGCUGAUGACGGUACCGUAAGAAUAAGCACCGGCUAACUACGUG
Molecule: ribosomal RNA, 492 nt
Filed under: uncultured bacterium
Lineage: Bacteria
Description: partial 16S ribosomal RNA
Rfam family: Bacterial small subunit ribosomal RNA
Source: RNAcentral